AAGUCACGGUGGAUACCUCAACACCUUAUUAUAAUACAUCUAGUAUGAACUCCAAAUACAAUACAAACCAAGAUUAACAUAGAUAUAUGCUAGAUAUCCAACUACUACCUCACAACUAUACACCGAAUGUCCAAUUGAAGAUCUUCUCGCGAACUCCAAAGAUGCUAGAAUCGCUACUCUUGAUAAUGAUCCCGCUCCUGCUCCCCGCCUACGUUCCAUAAGGAUACGUACCCAAAAAUGCGGUCAGCUUACGCUGGUAUGAGUGAUUCUCGCACAACAAGACAAGCCAUAAACAACUACAACUAGGGUAUAAUUAUUUAAUUUCGCAUACCUUGGUUUCCAUUUAGCUUAUGGUAGGCCAGCCCUGCAUACACGUUAGUGGGCCUACCAUCCUGCAAUUUCUUGUACGUGAUAAUUAUAAACACCAUUAUACAUAUAAUAUGCUAGAAAUCUAAGCAUGUCGCAAAGAAAACAACUUCUAAUAAAACUAAGCAAGUCAUCACAAUCAAGCCAAAGUUAAUACCCUAGCCACACUCCACAAUAGCCAUAUACUACACACUAUCUAUGGCUAACACAGAUAUCCCUGUGCCUCGUCAGAUAACUCGCAACCACUUUCGAUAACCAGAAUCCAUCAUCGGGAUAUCAACUAGAUUCCGCCGCCUCGAAAAGGCUAAGCUUAUCCGGAGCGCGCUAUAAACAUUUACCACUCGUCUACUCAUGAGAACGAGAAGGUACUCACCUCGAGCAUAAGGGGUAACGGGCUAAUAAUUCACCUUGGGACACACACACCAAGGGUUUUCAAAACACUUUUUCUUUUUCUCAUUUCGAAAUUCAGUACACUCAUGGUACUAUAGCCCACUUAAUAUUUUCGGAGUUGUGGCGUGCUAGGAUAUCCGAGUCAAGCUACUGACUCACGUAACAAAGCAAACACACACAAAAUAAGCUUAACAAUUCAUGACCAAGAUUAUAAAUCGGAUUAAAAGAUAACCAAGACAUAACCGAUUCACUACUAUAUCACAUCAUCAUUAUUGAGCAUAUAGAAUACAGAUAAUUCUGAAAAGAAGCAGUACAACAACCACAUAUUAUAUAUCAGACAGGUCCACAACUGAAUUCAAUAACGUUUUCUACACAAAUCACAAUGUAUUCCAGCAACACUGCAAAAACCUGUCAGAUAUUGCACCACAUAUAUGACAGACUAAACAAUAGAUUUAGCCCUAGACUAAAACUGAAAAUAUAAAGAUACAUGAGUUUGGUUUACUGGGUUUUUGAAAUCAACCAAAACGGUUCGGUAUUGAGUCUGUUAUGAACAUUAUCGUAAGGGGUGUUCAGGGACGUCCUGAACCUGCUUGUCAGACUUGCGUCAUAAUUUCUACCCAUUUAACAGCCGAAACAGAGAGAAGUGUAAACCGCCAUGUUCUAGAUAAAAGAACCUACUUUCAUCUCCAAUUGGAAUAAUAUAAAAAUAUUCAAUAGUUUAGUUUCUAUGGUCAAAAUGCCGCAGUAGCGCAGAGGUUCCAGGAAUCAAGAAUGUAUUGACUAUUUACCAAAUAAGAAGAUGGGUUGAUGUCAUGGACCCAUGAACAACAAUUCCUACUUAAUCUACCAGGUUCAAUACUCAAAAACAAUGAGUAAUUAAACCACAGAAAGAAAAUCACUCACCUAUGGUUAGAGUUAACUCCUUUCCUAAUCCAAAAGAAAGCAAGAUGAUGACUUCAAUUCCACCAAAGAAAAAGCUUGAAUCACCAACAAGAACCCACCAAUUUUGUUUUAAAAAUCAUUCCAACAAUGCUUCCAUCAAACAAAACCCAACAUCAUUCCGAAUUUCAGUUUGUUUCACCCCACCAUUUUUCUUUCUUUUAUUUUUUUCUUCUCCGUAAUCAACAAAACCAGUUUUGAGAAAAGAAGAUGCAAGGAUAUUUUUCUAUGUUCUAAAGUCAAACAAAAGUCCUCCCAUUUUCAACACUUGUCUAAUUAAACCAUAAUACAAUGACACAUAACACUUCCAUGCAAAAUUAUAGCUUUUUAGCUAGAUGUCCCUCUUAUAGUCGCACAUUCUAAUAAGUCCAAUUCCAAAUCAUGUCUUUCCCAUAUAAAAUCAAUCCCUUUCUCACCAACUUUUGUAUAUAUAAAUAUAUAAGAAAAACAUAUAAAUAGGGUCUCUACAGCAUACACACCAUAAAAGAAUCUCGUCCCGAGAUUAAGAAUGAGAUCCACCACUAUCAAAUAAAACACGUAUCUUUUAUCUAGAAACGAAAAUGGUACCUGGCAUUUGUUCUCCAUGACCAAUUACAGCAAAGGUCUUUGCUCCAGUCAGUGGUGUCGUUUUCCUACCAGAUUUUCCCGGACGUUGAGGACACUCGAAACUGCGAUGACCAGAUUGAUUGCAUUCCCAACAACUACCAGAAAAUGGGACAAUAGCUUUCUGAUCCUGCUGAUACUUAUAGUCAUUAUUUGGUUCAUUAGGCUUGAACCUCUUACGAUCACGAUCACCCUGAGAAGUAUCUCCCACCUUUGUCUUGCAUUUUGCCUCUCUAGCCUCCCUGAAUUCUUUCUCCUUGUUCUCGAACUUCAAAGCCAAGUCAAGAACUCGAUCGAAUGAUUCAUUAUCAAAAGGUAGUACAGACUUCGAGGGAUAGUGAUCUAAUCCCUUGAUACAUUUGUCAUUCUUCUUCUGUGGAGUAUCAAUGAGAUAGGGCGCAAAGCGUGACAAUUCAUUAAACUUAGUCACAUACGUUGUAACUGUCUUUCCUUCAUGAGUCAACUUGAAGAAUUCCUCCUGAAGUUGGGACUUCACUGCAUCAGGUAUAAACUUUUUAUCGAACCGAUCCUUGAAUUCUUCCCACGUGAAGGUAGCUAAGUCUAAACUUCCACUAAUAGACUUCCACCAAUAGAGUGCUGAGCCAACUAGCUGAUGUGCUGCUAAUUCCCAUUUUUGCACCUCUGUAAGCGUCAUGUACUCGAAAACCAUUUCACACUGUUGUAGCCAGUGCUCUGCAGCCACUGCACCUACAUCGCCAUUAAAUUUUCCUCCACCUAAGGUACCGAAAUCUUUGUUUCUCUUAGCAAAAGCAUCACGGUGAUUCUCUCCAUGCCGCACUGCGUGCAUUACUUGCGCCAUCAAGGCUCCAAGAUCCACAGUUACAUUCCCAGUGCCACUACCAGUACCAAUCAUGCCUUCUCCACUCCCUCCAGCCAUUACCUUUAAAACAUAAAUAUUGAUGAGAACAUAUUAAAGUUGUAAUCAUCAAAUUUAUGCGUACUUUAAACAUCAACAACAUCAAAUACUUUAACUUCUACACAACCCUCCACAUUCGGAGGAUCACCUAGACACUCUCUUGUCUAGGGUAACCUAUAGCUCUGAUACCAAUCUGUCACGCCCCAAAUUUUAAGAUGAUAAAAUUCCACACUAUACGUUUAUUUCGUUAUCUCAAGAUUUAGACGCGAAGAGGAACGAUUCAAAAGAAUCCAAACUAGAAUAAAAUUUUCAAAGCUACGUACAAGUCACAAAUGAUACUAGAAUCAUUUAACUUAUAUACAUCAACAACCAGUCCAAAUUACAUCCAUAAAGUCACGGUGGAUACCUCAACACCUUAUUAUAAUACAUCUAGUAUGAACUCCAAAUACAAUACAAACCAAGAUUAACAUAGAUAUAUGCUAGAUAUCCAACUACUACCUCACAACUAUACACCGAAUGUCCAAUUGAAGAUCUUCUCGCGAACUCCAAAGAUGCUAGAAUCGCUACUCUUGAUAAUGAUCCCGCUCCUGCUCCCCGC
Molecule: long non-coding RNA, 3773 nt
Filed under: Aquilegia coerulea
Lineage: Eukaryota; Viridiplantae; Streptophyta; Magnoliopsida; Ranunculales; Ranunculaceae
Description: long non-coding RNA (ACOE_LNC001445)
Source: RNAcentral